ACCCCAUCUUCCAAUAUGUAUUCCUUCAGUGUGCUAUACGGCAAUUUGUAUGACUUUUAUAGUGAUGAAUUCUUAUUUGGUCAAAGUUGUUUCGAGCUGCUGUACUUUAGAUUACGGAGGAUAAAGAUUCGUGCUUUUGAUUUUAUGGCCAUCAGAAUGGCUUCAGCAACCAUCCUUCAAUCGUUAAAGGCUCGAGCUGACCUAGCUGAUAAAAUUAUUGGAGAGCUUCGACGUCAGAUAAGUGCUAUUAAAACUGCUACAGCUGCUAAUGCUGGAGAGUAUGAGGAAGACAGGUUGAGAAAAGAAAAUGAGGCAUUGAAGAAGGAGAUUGAGCAAGUCAAAAUAAAACUUAUGGUGGCAGAAAUCAGGAAUGGAGUGAGGCAGGUUCCAGUUCCACAGAGAAAGAUUGUGAAUUCUAAUGAAGCUGCAGAUGCUGGGACAAAGCCUGUCAUUGCAGCCCCUCAGGUAGACACUUCAGUAAGUCAACCACAGCCAAAGAAAACCAAAAAGGAAGUAGCUGGAACUAAUGACAAGAGUAAAGUUGAGAAAGGAAACAAGAAAGAAAGCAAAGUUGAAGUCAAGCUUGAAGCACCUACUUCAGGAGCAGAUGGGGACACAGUUGACAUUUCACGACUAGACUUGCGCAUAGGCAAGAUCAUUGCUGUGGAGAAGCACCCAGAUGCUGAAAAACUCUAUGUUGAGACUGUGGAUGUUGGGGAGGAAAAACCACGCACUAUAGUGUCCGGUCUUGUAGAGCAUAUUCCCAUUGAAAAGAUGCACAACAGAUUGGCUGUAUUCAUGUGCAAUUUGAAGCCCAGUAAGAUGCGAGGCAUCUCUUCUGAAGGCAUGAUUAUGUGUGCCAAUGCAGGGAAAGUUGAAAUUCUGGAUCCACCUCCUGGUGUUGUCCCUGGAGACCAAAUAACUUUUGAGGGUUACCCUGGUGUGCCAGACAAGCAACUAAAUCCCAAAAAGAAAAUCUGGGAAACUCUCAAGCCAGAUGUUCGUACCAACAAUGAACGCAUCGCAACCUACAAAGGAGUGCCUUUCAAGGUUGAAGGGAAGGGUGUGGUUACUGCACCGACUUUACCUAAUGCGCAGAUUUCUUGAGCUUAAAAUCAUUUUGCAUGUUCUUGGUAUAGGUCAUGAUUUAGGACACUGCAGGGACAAUGCUAAUUGCCAUUUUUUUUCUCUCAGUCCUCUCCACUCAUCUAUUGGUGGUAAUCUGAACAUUGUGAUAGUUUUCUACCGCCGUGGCAAGCAUGCACUAGUGCUUUUAAGCUUGCUGAAAGGCCUUAAAAAAUAUUCUCCUGGUUGAUGUUUGCAUACAUUUUGAAAGACAUAGACCACUCCUUCAAAACUGCAUGAAGUGCCCACACUUUUCUUGACUUUUCAGAAUGUGAUACUCAGCCAAAUAAAAAGUCUUUUAAAGUAUUGAAAACCAUUGUUAUUAAAAAAGUGGUGCAAACAA
RNAcentral lists this unclassified non-coding RNA (1468 nucleotides) under Pomacea canaliculata. RNAcentral's name for it is "aminoacyl tRNA synthase complex-interacting multifunctional protein 1-like, transcript variant X1". The record is from RNAcentral. Lineage: Eukaryota; Metazoa; Mollusca; Gastropoda; Architaenioglossa; Ampullariidae.